UAAGCUGUGACAGAGAUGCUUGGGGA
Molecule: non-coding RNA, 26 nt
Filed under: Rattus norvegicus (Norway rat)
Lineage: Eukaryota; Metazoa; Chordata; Mammalia; Rodentia; Muridae
Source: RNAcentral